CAGGACGAACGCUGGCGGCGUGCCUAACACAUGCAAGUCGAGCGAGGAGAUUCCUUCGGGAUGAUCCUAGCGGCGGACGGGUGAGUAACACGUGGGCAACCUGCCUCAUAGAGAGGAAUAGCCUUCCGAAAGGGAGAUUAAUACCUCAUAACAUUGCAGUUUCGCAUGGAACAGCAAUUAAAGGAGCAAUCCACUAUGAGAUGGGCCCGCGGCGCAUUAGCUAGUUGGUGAGGUAACGGCUCACCAAGGCGACGAUGCGUAGCCGACCUGAGAGGGUGAUCGGCCACAUUGGGACUGAGACACGGCCCAGACUCCUACGGGAGGCAGCAGUGGGGAAUAUUGCACAAUGGGGGAAACCCUGACGCAGCAACGCCGCGUGAGUGAUGACGGCCUUCGGGUUGUAAAGCUCUGUCUUCAGGGACGAUAAUGACGGUACCUGAGGAGGAAGCCACGGCUAACUACGUGCCAGCCGCGGC
RNAcentral lists this ribosomal RNA (476 nucleotides) under uncultured bacterium. RNAcentral describes it as "bacterial SSU rRNA". It matches the Rfam family "Bacterial small subunit ribosomal RNA", at positions 25 to 518 of the family's 1533-position model. The record is from RNAcentral.